This 250-nucleotide ribosomal RNA is filed under the name uncultured bacterium. RNAcentral describes it as "partial 16S ribosomal RNA". It matches the Rfam family "Bacterial small subunit ribosomal RNA", at positions 92 to 339 of the family's 1533-position model. The record is from RNAcentral.
AAAGCGGCAAACGGGUGCGUAACACGUGAGCAACCUGCCCUUAAGUGGAGGAUAGCCCGCCGAAAGGUGGAUUAAUACUGCAUAUGAUCCUGUUCCGCAUGGAAUAGAGAUUAAAGCCUGAAAUGGCGCUUAAGGAGGGGCUUGCGGCCUAUCAGCUUGUUGGUGAGGUAAUAGCUCACCAAGGCUAAGACGGGUAGCUGGUCUGAGAGGAUGAUCAGCCACACUGGAACUGAGAUACGGUCCAGACACC